UAUACAUAUUUACCAAUCAAAAUGCCACCUGCACGUAGUACACGUAGAGCAAGUCGUCGUAACGAUCCCGUCGCUACCCCACCCGUUCGAGUCACGCGUCGGCAAAAUCGUAAUAACGACAACGAUAGAGCCGAAGUACCAGAUAAUCAAUUAAAUAACGAUCCGGUAAUUGUCCCCCCACCUCCUGCGCCGGCUGCCGUAUCAAUCGCAUCGACCAGUUCAGACGCGGGUUCGUCUAAUUAUAAUGUCCUAUCGAAUGCUUCAGAUAUUGAAAUCACCGCUAAUUCAUCAUCAUAUAUGAACUUGAAACUAGCUAUCGAUCUUGUCCCGCGAUUUGACGGUAGAUCUAGUACAUUGUCAAAAUUUAUUAAGCAAAGCAAACUUGCAGAUUCUCUAAUCCACCCCCGGGAUAAAAUUAAUUUACUCGCGUUAAUCCGGAAUAAAAUUGAGGGUCAAGCAGACCAGUUGAUCGCGAAUCGAAACGACCCUGAAAAUCUUGACGAACUGAUUAGCCUCUUAAAAAACUCUUUCUCACGGACAUUUGACGUAGAACAUAUACAUGAUGAACUAAAGGGUUUAAAACAAAGAGACAAUGAGACUAUCGAGUCAUACGGAGCUCGAGUCAGUGAAAUUCUGGGCCGUGGUAUGGAAGCCAUAAAAGAAAAAUAUAAAACUUCGGAAGCCGUCGGUGUUAGGGUUCUUUUAAAUCACGCCGCUAUUACGGGAUUCACGCGCGGACUUCAGAGUUCACUUUUAAGUUCGCUUAUUACUCGGGAUGAGCCGGACUCGUUAGCUAAAGCAAUGAAUAUCGCGUCACUUCUUGAACGAGAAGCAGAAAAUCGAAAAUCCUUAUUCGGUUCGAAUCAACAUCAACAUCCACCUUAUAUCAGAGCUCAUAACCGGGGAGCUAGAGUCAACUCCAUUAUCGGGAACAGAAUAUUAAAAUGCUUUCAUUGCGAUCAGCCGGGUCACUUGAAAAUAAACUGCCCUGAUUGGAAGCAGCAGAAACAGCGUGAACCGCGAGACCAGGUAUACUGUGACUUUUGCUCUAGACGCGGUCAUAUCGAAGACAAUUGUUUUAAGAAAGAUCCGAGUAAACGCAAGACCAGUAAAUACUAUAGACCUAACACUGAACAAAAUGAUUUAAACGCGAACAACGUUCCGCGGACGAACGCAACUCGGAACGGCGAAGUGAUCCUGCGUUCACAAUCAACCGGAUUAAUUACCAACUAAAAACAGAUCAAACUGCAGAAUUACCGGUAAUCACUCUGAAUAAUAAUGAUCUCUUAAAUAAUCAAGCUUGUUUUCUUAUUGACACGGGAGCUCAAUUAAAUCUAAUUAAAACAAAUGCCAUCAGCUCGGAUAUACGCAUUAAUUCUAAUAUAAUUUAUAAUCUCACCGGGAUCGGGUCCGGAACGAUACGUACCGUCGGCGAGACAGAGCUCAUGGUACGUGAGAUACCGAUAAAAUUCCAGGUAGUUCAGAGCACGUUCCCGAUCGAACAAUCCGGUAUACUCGGUACUCCAUUCCUACGAAAACAAGAGGCUCAAUUAAAUUUUAAAAACGAUUUAUCGGGAAAUUUAAUAUUAGGUAACGAACAGAUAGACUUUUACGGACAUACAUCACAUUAUUUACCUCCUAGAACAAAAAAAUUAAUAACUAUUAAAAUAAAAAAUGACAGGAAAGAAGCUGGUUAUAUCGAAAAAAUAAAUGCUGGACCUGGAGUUCAUCUAGGUGAAGUUCUAGCUACGCCAAAAGACGGAUACGUCAAAAUUUUUGCGAUCAAUACCUUGACCAGCGCAGUCGAUCUAACAAUUCCGUCGGUAGAAAUCGAAGAUUUUGAAGCGUUGCCCCCGUCUCCUCGAACGGCGCGUACGGGAUCUCCCAAGAACGUAACUGACCAAGCAGCAGCUCAACGAUUCGCCUUGUUAACUGAAUCUCUUAACCUCGACAAUCUAAACGAAAUAGAAAAAAUAAGUAUUUUAGAAAUAGUGAAACAAUUUUCAUACCAAUUUCACCUUCCGGGCGAUAAACUUCAGGCUACAGACGUGACGAAACAUAAAAUUAUUACGACGGACGAAGUACCAAUAAAUACAAAACAAUAUCGGAAUCCGCAGGUACUCAAAAAUGAGGUACAGAAACAAGUAAACGAGCUUCUCUCGUCUAAUAUAAUUCGAAACUCAGACUCUUCCUACAACUCACCGGUUUGGAUUGUUCCUAAAAAACCCGAUUCAUCAGGUAAUCCGCGGUGGCGCAUGGUAAUUGACUACCGCGGGUUAAAUGAUAAAACGAUCAGUGACGCGUACCCACUUCCAAAUAUAACCGAUAUCCUCGACCAGCUGGGUGGCGCGAAGUAUUUUACCAUCCUCGAUCUUGCUUCAGGGUUUCAUCAGAUACUGAUGGACCCCGACUCACGGCAUAAAACAGCAUUUUCUACCCCCUACGGUCAUUAUGAAUUCAAUCGCAUGCCAUUUGGGCUGAAAAACGCGCCCGCGACAUUCCAACGGCUUAUGGACCGUGUACUCACCGGGCUCCAAGGAGUCGAAAUGUUCGUGUACAUGGACGACAUUGUUGUAUAUUCCAUUUCUCUGGAAGAGCAUUCGCGGAAACUAAAAAAAUUGCUAGCUCGUCUACAAAAUGCUGGUCUCGCUUUAUCACCAGAAAAAUGUCACUUUCUUCAAAAGGAAAUAGUAUAUCUGGGUCAUCUUAUCACACAUGAAGGAGUUAAACCUGAUCCGCAAAAAAUUCGUGCAGUUAAAGAUUUUCGUGUCCCUAAAAACAGAAAAAAUAUCAAAUCAUUUUUGGGAUUAGUGGGUUAUUAUAGACGAUUCAUAAAAGACUUCGCGAAAGUAGCGAAACCAUUAACGCGUCUUUUGAAGAAAGACAUAAAAUUCGACUGGGGCGAUGCCCAGCAAAAAUCAUUCGAGACUCUCAGAGACACAAUUUGUACUCAACCCGUACUCCAAUAUCCUGACUUCCAACAACCGUUCGUAGUAACUACCGAUGCGUCAAAUUUCGCACUCGGUGCCGUAUUGAGCCAAGGGCCAAUAGGUAAAGACCUCCCGAUCUCUUACGCGUCACGGACCUUAUCAAAAUCGGAAAUUAAUUAUUCAACUACCGAGAAAGAACUUCUCGCGAUAAUUUACGCCGUUCGACACUUCCGACCGUAUCUUUAUGGACGUCGAUUCACUUUAGUAACCGAUCACCGGCCACUCCUGUGGCUCCACAAUACUAAAGAUCCCGUUUCUAAAUUGUUAAGAUGGAGAAUCAAAUUAAAUGAAUAUGAUUUCGAAAUAGUUUUCAAACCAGGUAAAAUUAAUUCAAAUGCUGACUCUCUUUCACGUAAUCCAGUUGACAGCAUAACAGACGAAACUUUAAAAGCACAAAUUAAUUCAGAUAAAAUACUUAAAAUCAGCUCUAGAGGUCUGGAAUCGGUACUUGACUGCGCAGACAAGAUACCAGUUGUAGAUCUCGCCACGAGUGAAAAUGUCGAGACAGAAAAGAAUUCAUUUUUAGCAGAGGCAUUUGUUGGUUCAAUUUUUCUCGCGGAGAAACCCCUUUUGACUGAUGUAGACAUAGAGAUAACGAGUAAAAACAGUUUAAGUGCAACUCCAACGUGCUCGAAAUUAAGUAAAGGGGUCCAACACACAUAUCCGGAACCUCGAUACAGCAGAGAUCGUAACAGCGGAAUGUGGUGCGGACCAGGUUCAUGUAAUAAGGCUCUCCACGUUCGUUCGGAACCUCAGCUCUUAGGAGACUGUAACAGCGAGCUCUCGUGGAAGUCAAAUUUAAGUAAAGAUGGUUUACACACAUAUCCGGAACCUCGAUACAGCAGAGAUCGUAACAGCGGAAUGUGGUGUGAACCAGGUUCAUAUGAUAAGACCUUGCACGUACAUCCGGAACCUCAGGCCACAGAAGUCUGUAACAGCGGAGUACGGUGGUGCGAGGCAAGUGAUAAGAGCACGCUGGAGGUUUGCCAGGCAAUGUAUAGAAAAAGAAAACUAGAUGACGUAAUUGACGACAGUACAAACCAUAAGCAGACGAAAAAUACUUACCUGGAGAUUCGAAAGAUCUUAGCCAUAGUCCCAUUACGAUUUUCCUAUACUAAAGACAGUUUAAUUUUGCGUAAAGAUAACAUCAUCCAAUUUAUAUCAGCAGACUGUACACAUAUACCUAAAUCGAGUAGAGAGUUACUCCAGCAAGGCGUGUUUACUGUGGAAGAACUACUCCAACACCCGAGAAACGUGGGAGAAGCUCUUGCCACUCGGUGGAAUGUAAAUUACAUUUUUCAUUUAAUAAUUAAAAACACUAGAAACGAGCGCGCGGAUAUUGGUAACGUAGAAAGUAGUAUCGCAGCCUUAAAACAUCUAAUGGAGCAUGUAAACGUGAAAACCGCAAGUCUUUCUAAAGCACAAAAUGAACACUCUCAGCCUUUCUGGAAAUUGUUAGAACAAAACCUCAAAGAUAAAUUCGCGAAUGAAAACUAUAAUUUCACGAUUUGUACGGGCGAAAUCAGAUUCCCGCCGGUAAACGAGCAAAAGAAUAUUAUUAAAGAAUAUCAUAAUUCGGUAGUCGGAGGACAUUUUGGAGUCAGGAAGUUAUACAAUCGCGUUCGGGAAGAUUUCUACUGGAAAAAUAUGAAGAAUGAUAUAGAAAAUUUCGUCCGAACUUGUAAUAGUUGCCAAUCGAACAAACUAGUACGCGUAAAAACUAAACAGCCAAUGAGGAUAACCGACACCCCAGAGGAAGCGUUCGAUAAAAUACAAAUGGAUAUAGUGGGUCCCCUACCUGUAACCCUUGACGGAAACCGCUAUUUAUUAACUAUCCAGGAUAACUUGACAAAGUACUCUGAUGCGAUCCCCAUCCCGAGAAUGGACUCAGUAACGGUCGCUACCACCUUUGCGAAACAUUUUAUUGCACGGUUCGGAUGCCCAAAAGCUAUCCAUACUGAUCAAGGUAGUAAUUUUACCAGUCAGAUGAUGAAGACCUUCUGCCAAAUCUUUAAAAUCAAUCAAAUUAAGUCCACGGCAUUCCACCCGCAAUCACUAGGGUCUCUCGAGCGAGCCCACCACGUAUUCAUCCAAUAUCUAAAACACUAUUGUAAAGAUGAAGAUUGGGAUCAAUGGAUAGUGUUUGGUAUGUUUUCAUACAAUACCUCAGUUCACGAAUCCACCGGUUUUACACCUCAUGAAUUAAUAUUCGGGAAAAAGGCUCGUAUUCCUUCAGAAUUCGCCAAAGAAAAGAUCCCAAAGACAUAUAUACAGUAUUUUGACGACCUUUUUAAUAAGAUUACUAUUACGCAGGCCACUGCCGCGGAAAACCUUCAAGCCGCUAAAAAUCGUUCCAAAGCCUAUUAUGACAGAAACCAAAAUCCGAAAACCUUCAAGGUCAAUGAUCUCGUAUAUUUAUUAAAAGAGCCGAGACUGUCGAAGUUCGAUCGCCAAUGGGACGGUCCCUAUGAAAUAAUUGAAGUAUUUGAUGACUUAAAUGUAAUGAUAGCUUUAAACAAUAAUAGAACGAAAAUAGUACAUACCAACAAAUUAAAACUUGCCCAUAUCCGCCUCGAGGAUAACCCAAAUAGUUCAGACGAGAGCAAUGACGAAGCGUAAAAUAAAAUAAAUUGUAAUUCGCGUAGAUUAGGAAUAAACUGUUCUGAGUGCCUGAGCGAUAUCAUUUGUAUCUGUGUGUGCAAAGUAGUUAAAUGUAAUUCAUCAUACACGGGAUAAAAAGCAAUUUUGAUGCGACCUAAAAAAUAAAAUUAAUUUAAUUUAGCCCUAAGUAAAGUAGGAAAUUAAUAAAAAGCAAUAUCUUAAAAUUAAAAUAAGCUAGGUGUUUCGACAAAUGUAAACAAAUGUUCAGGUUAUGGUAUUUAGACAACAACAUUGUAAUUAAAAACAAAUUAAUUGUACUAACCUUAUCUUUAGAACAUGAAACGUAAUGUUAAGAUAUACAUUUAAUCUUCAUUUGUGAUUUUUUUAAAUGGAUGUGCUUUUGUGAUCAAUUCUAAUGUCAAGUACAUGUGUAUGUUUUGAUCUCUCGAGAGAGUAUAAAGCUGUUACUGUAUGUAACACCUUUAAAAUAAGGGGGAAGGUGUGAUGUCCCAUCGCGAUCCACCUGCCCGAUCGAAAUGACCCCUCGCGGAGUUAACAAACAAUCUCUUACGCGGGUUAUUUAAAUAUAAUUAUAUUUAAAUAAAUCGUGGGAAAUUCUUGGGUUUUUCGGAAGUAAUAAAUAAGAGUAAUAAAACAUCUGGUCACUCGAAGCUUGUUUAAAAUAAAAUUAUAAACGAAAAAACCAUAAAAGGAACUUAUGUUUGAAAUCCUUUGUUCGUUAAAAUUAAGAGAAAGUUUUGUAGACAUUUGUAAGUUAUUUAUAAAAAUUCCGUGUAUUUUGUAUUUAAGUAGUUUUAGAGAUUCAAGUACCCUGCCAUAAAUUUUAAUAAGAAAAUUUCUUAAAACUGUUAUGUAUAAAAAACUUGAGUAAUGGAGGGUAAGCCGAUUAGAGACCGCAAUAAAAUUCGAGCGGUCCAAACAUCUGUAAGGGUGAAAGCCUUGGACCUAAUGGCGGGAAAUACCACAUGACUCCAGACAACGUAGCAACUGUAGAAAAGGAUCGACCAAGCCACGGAACGGAGGAUUCAACCUCGAGGGGCGGAGAUACUCUGUGACGUCAUGAGGCCCCGACUACGUCCCCACAUCAGCCAAUAAGAAAACCUUACCCCGCCAUAGUCUCCAGGGCUGACGCCCCUUCUAACUUAGAAUAAUUUUAAGAUUGAUUUUGUAAGGCAGAAUUAGCCAGAAGCUCGAGCGCGAACGUCGUUGUACUAAGCAAAGAUAUACUUACAAUUAAAAAUUGUUCAACCAACUUAGAAAACCUCGUUUUUUCUGAACAGCCUUUCACCAAUUCAUAAUCAACCUACCAGAGCUGAGUAUUUAAAUACUCCCGGGCGAAGUGGCCCUAGUAUACGCGAAUUAAUUUAUAGAGAAUUAAUUAAUCGACCUCCCGAUAGGUGGAGGUCAUAACAGGGUCAACAUAUAAAAAUUUCUAAGUAGAAAAUUUUUUUAAUAGAAUUGUUGUGUCAUAGAGAUAUUCAAAAUAGAGAAAUAUUAAGGAGAGUUAUGGAUAAAUAUGUUGAGGCCUAAUUGUAUCAUAUAGUAAAUUUUGUGGAGAAUUAAUUUUCAUAGAUAUAUGAUAUAGAGAUAUUUUGGACAUGAAUUAUUUUCACAUAUAUUUAUACUAAAUAGUAUAAGAUCACAUAGAGAUAAUUUUACAUUGAAUUAUUUUGCAACAUAAAUAUAUUUAAUAUUAAUAUAUUCGCAUAGAAAUCUAUUUAAGAGAAUUGUAUGUUGGUAGAGUAUUAUGCAUAGAGAAGUAAAAAGUACGAUUGUAACCAGGAACGGUAUGAAAACAUAACGUUGACUGUAUAUAUUACUUAGUGCGUUAACUUACUGAAAAAAAAUUAGUAUUAGUGCACAAAAAAACAAAAUUUAAAAAAAUGCAUAAAUUCAUUUAUAGAAAAUUUGUCUUUAACGAAAUUGAAAUAAAUCCUUGAUGACUGCAGCUGAGCAUUUUAUUAGUUUAGUAACUGUAGCAAGCGCGAAAAAACUUGCUGCUUUUUUAGUUAUUUGUUUUAUCUUCUACCAUGGGAUGAUACAUCUAAUUUAUGAAUUUUGUUUCAUAUCACAGGUAGCGAUUCCUGUAAAUGGUUAUUGAAAGAAGGUCGAUAUAAAGGAGACAAAGAAUGGCAACCUUACGGUUGCAUGAUGCAUCACUAUACGCAAACAGACAGCAGAAGGUGUUUCCGAU
Molecule: RNA transcript, 7806 nt
Organism: Microplitis mediator
Lineage: Eukaryota; Metazoa; Arthropoda; Insecta; Hymenoptera; Braconidae
Gene name: N-acetylneuraminate 9-O-acetyltransferase
Exons: 3
Source: RefSeq, a predicted model, not a curated record